UACGGGGGGUGCAAGCGUUGUUCGGAAUUAUUGGGCGUAAAGAGCUCGUAGGCGGUGUGUCGCGUCGGCCGUGAAAACCUGCAGCUUAACUGUGGGCGUGCGGUCGAUACGGGCAUCACUGGAGUUCGGCAGGGGAGACUGGAAUUCCUGGUGUAGCGGUGAAAUGCGCAGAUAUCAGUAGGAACACCGGUGGCGAAGGCGUGUCUCUGGGCCUUACCUGACGCUCAGGUGCGAAAGCUAGGGGAGCGAACAGG
RNAcentral lists this ribosomal RNA (254 nucleotides) under uncultured bacterium. RNAcentral describes it as "partial 16S ribosomal RNA". It matches the Rfam family "Bacterial small subunit ribosomal RNA", at positions 524 to 776 of the family's 1533-position model. The record is from RNAcentral.